UGAGGGUUUGUCUGCCUUGAAGCUGUCAGG
This 30-nucleotide non-coding RNA is filed under the name Mus musculus (house mouse). The record is from RNAcentral. Lineage: Eukaryota; Metazoa; Chordata; Mammalia; Rodentia; Muridae.